CGUAAGCGCGCGCAGGUGGUUUCUUAAGUCUGAUGUGAAAGCCCCCGGCUCAACCUGGGAACUGCAUUCGGAAACUGGCGAGACUUGAGUGUGGAAGAGGAUGGUGGAAUUCCCUGUGUAGCGGUGAAAUGCGUAGAUAUAUGAAGGAACACCAGUGGCGAAGGCGACUUUCUGGUCUGUUACUGACACUGAGGCGCGAAAGCGUGGGGAGCAAACAGGAUUAGAUACCCUGGUAGUCCACGCCGUAAACGAUGACUGCUAACCGUUGGAAGCCUUCCGAUCUUUAUGGCUCAACUUAACGCUUUAAUCACUCCGCCGGGGAAGUCCGGCCCCAAGGUUGAACUUCAAUGGAUUUGACGGGGGCCCCCCCAACCGGGGAACCUGGUGGUUUAUUUCAAACCACCCCGAAAAACCUUACCAGGCCUGGCCUUCCUAUGACUUUCCUAAAGAUAAUUGUUCUCCUUCGGAA
RNAcentral lists this ribosomal RNA (469 nucleotides) under Bacillus thuringiensis. Its description in RNAcentral is "bacterial SSU rRNA". It matches the Rfam family "Bacterial small subunit ribosomal RNA", at positions 559 to 1025 of the family's 1533-position model. The record is from RNAcentral. Lineage: Bacteria; Bacillati; Bacillota; Bacilli; Caryophanales; Bacillaceae.